This 434-nucleotide ribosomal RNA is filed under the name uncultured bacterium. RNAcentral's name for it is "partial 16S ribosomal RNA". It matches the Rfam family "Bacterial small subunit ribosomal RNA", at positions 29 to 507 of the family's 1533-position model. The record is from RNAcentral.
AGCGAACGCUGGCGGCAGGCCUAACACAUGCAAGUCGAACGAACCUUUCGGGGUUAGUGGCGGACGGGUGAGUAACCCGUGGGAACGUGCCUUUAGGUUCGGAAUAACUCAGGGAAACUUGUGCUAAUACCGAAUGUGCCCUUCGGGGGAAAGAUUUAUCGCCUUUAGAGCGGCCCGCGUCUGAUUAGCUAGUUGGUUGAGGUAAUGGCUCACCAAGGCGACGAUCAGUAGCUGGUCUGAGAGGAUGAUCAGCCACAUUGGGACUGAGACACGGCCCAAACUCCUACGGGAGGCAGCAGUGGGGAAUCGUGCGCAAUGGGCGAAAGCCUGACGCAGCCAUGCCGCGUGAAUGAUGAAGGUCUUAGGAUUGUAAAAUUCUUUUAACGGGGACGAUAAUGACGGUACCCGGAGAAGAAGCCCCGGCUAACUUCGUG